UUGAUCAAAUUUGAUAACGAUUGAAAUGC
This 29-nucleotide small RNA is filed under the name Bombyx mori (domestic silkworm). Its description in RNAcentral is "ovarian small RNA-37731". The record is from RNAcentral. Lineage: Eukaryota; Metazoa; Arthropoda; Insecta; Lepidoptera; Bombycidae.